AUUUACAUAGUUUAAAAAAAACAUUUUAUUUUCAUUAAAAAAAAGGUAAAAUUACCUGUAAAUU
Molecule: transfer RNA, 64 nt
Filed under: Oncopsis nigrofasciata
Lineage: Eukaryota; Metazoa; Arthropoda; Insecta; Hemiptera; Cicadellidae
Also listed under: 1 other name
Description: tRNA-Glu
Source: RNAcentral